This 373-nucleotide ribosomal RNA is filed under the name uncultured bacterium. RNAcentral describes it as "bacterial SSU rRNA". It matches the Rfam family "Bacterial small subunit ribosomal RNA", at positions 523 to 898 of the family's 1533-position model. The record is from RNAcentral.
AUACGGAGGAUCCGAGCGUUAUCCGGAUUUAUUGGGUUUAAAGGGUGCGUAGGCGGACUUAUAAGUCAGCGGUGAAAGUUUGCAGCUUAACUGUAAAAUUGCCGUUGAAACUGUUAGUCUUGAGUGUAAAUGAGGUAGGCGGAAUGUGUUGUGUAGCGGUGAAAUGCUUAGAUAUAACACAGAACACCAAUUGCGAAGGCAGCUUACUGGGAUACAACUGACGCUGAGGCACGAAAGCGUGGGGAUCAAACAGGAUUAGAUACCCUGGUAGUCCACGCAGUAAACGAUGAAUACUAACUGUAUGCGAUAUACUGUAUGCGGUACAGCGAAAGCGUUAAGUAUUCCACCUGGGGAGUACGUUCGCAAGAAUGAA